CGAGUCGAGUCAUUUCAGUUUCUGAUCGAGUCGAGUCAGUGGCUUCACUCGAGUCGAGUCAGCAGUUUCACUCGAGUCAAGUCGAGUCAUUGGUUUAAGUCGAGUCGAGUCAAUAGCUAGACUUAACUUGAGUCAGGGAAUUUGUUCAAGUCCACCCACAUCCUAGUCCCCAGGGCCUUUCGGCCGCGCGCGUCCUCCCUAGGCCCUGGAGCAUACGGAACCAGAAGUGCAAGUAAACUUGCAGUAGUUUCUAAAGCGCAUGGUC
Non-coding RNA from Paramuricea clavata, 265 nucleotides. The record is from the annotation of a GenBank genome assembly. Lineage: Eukaryota; Metazoa; Cnidaria; Anthozoa; Malacalcyonacea; Plexauridae.